Molecule: ribosomal RNA, 2906 nt
Filed under: Klebsiella pneumoniae
Lineage: Bacteria; Pseudomonadati; Pseudomonadota; Gammaproteobacteria; Enterobacterales; Enterobacteriaceae
Description: 23S ribosomal RNA
Rfam family: Bacterial large subunit ribosomal RNA
Source: RNAcentral
GGGUUGUGAGGUUAAGCGACUAAGCGUACACGGUGGAUGCCACGGCAGUCAGAGGCGAUGAAGGACGUGCUAAUCUGCGAAAAGCGUCGGUAAGGUGAUAUGAACCGUUAUAACCGGCGAUGUCCGAAUGGGGAAACCCAGUGCAAUUCGUUGCACUAUCGUUAACUGAAUACAUAGGUUAACGAGGCGAACCGGGGAACUGAAACAUCUAAGUACCCCGAGGAAAAGAAAUCAACCGAGAUUCCCCCAGUAGCGGCGAGCGAACGGGGAGCAGCCCAGAGUCUGAAUCAGCUUGUGUGUUAGUGGAACGGUCUGGAAAGUCCGACGGUACAGGGUGAUAGUCCCGUACACCAAAAUGCACAGGUUGUGAACUCGAAGAGUAGGGCGGGACACGUGGUAUCCUGUCUGAAUAUGGGGACCAUCCUCCAAGGCUAAAUACUCCUGACUGACCGAUAGUGAACCAGUACCGUGAGGGAAAGGCGAAAAGAACCCCGGCGAGGGGAGUGAAAAGAACCUGAAACCGUGUACGUACAAGCAGUGGGAGCACCUUCGGGUGUGACUGCGUACCUUUGUAUAAUGGGUCAGCGACUUAUAUUCUGUAGCAAGGUUAACCGUAUAGGGGAGCCGCAGGAAACCGAGUCUUAACUGGGCGUUAAGUUGCAGGGUAUAGACCCGAAACCCGGUGAUCUAGCCAUGGGCAGGUUGAAGGUUGGGUAACACUAACUGGAGGACCGAACCGACUAAUGUUGAAAAAUUAGCGGAUGACUUGUGGCUGGGGUGAAAGGCCAAUCAAACCGGGAGAUAGCUGGUUCUCCCCGAAAGCUAUUUAGGUAGCGCCUCGUGAAUUCAUCUUCGGGGUAGAGCACUGUUUCGGCUAGGGGUCAUCCCGACUUACCAACCCGAUGCAAACUACGAAUACCGAAGAAUGUUAUCACGGGAGACACACGGCGGGUGCUAACGUCCGUCGUGAAGAGGGAAACAACCCAGACCGCCAGCUAAGGUCCCAAAGUCAUGGUUAAGUGGGAAACGAUGUGGGAAGGCACAGACAGCCGGAUGUUGGCUUAGAAGCAGCCAUCAUUUAAAGAAAGCGUAAUAGCUCACUGGUCGAGUCGGCCUGCGCGGAAGAUGUAACGGGGCUAAACCAUGCACCGAAGCUGCGGCAGCGACACUAUGUGUUGUUGGGUAGGGAGCGUUCUGUAAGCCUGCGAAGGUGUGCUGUGAGGCAUGCUGGAGGUAUCAGAAGUGCGAAUGCUGACAUAAGUAACGAUAAAGCGGGUGAAAAGCCCGCUCGCCGGAAGACCAAGGGUUCCUGUCCAACGUUAAUCGGGGCAGGGUGAGUCGACCCUAAGGCGAGGCCGAAAGGCGUAGUCGAUGGGAAACAGGUUAAUAUUCCUGUACUUGGUGUUACUGCGAAGGGGGGACGAGAGGCUAUGUUAGCCGGGCGACGGUUGUCCCGGUUUAAGCAUGUAGGCUGAUUAUCGGGCAAAUCCGGAUAAUCAAGGCUGAGGUGUGAUGACGAGGCACUACGGUGCUGAAGUAACAAAUGCCCUGCUUCCGGAAAAGCCUCUAAGCAUCAGGUAACAUCAAAUCGUACCCCAAACCGACACAGGUGGUCAGGUAGAGAAUACCAAGGCGCUUGAGAGAACUCGGGUGAAGGAACUAGGCAAAAUGGUGCCGUAACUUCGGGAGAAGGCACGCUGGUGUGUAGGUGAAGCCCCUGCGGGUGGAGCUGAGACCAGUCGAAGAUACCAGCUGGCUGCAACUGUUUAUUAAAACACAGCACUGUGCAAACACGAAAGUGGACGUAUACGGUGUGACGCCUGCCCGGUGCCGGAAGGUUAAUUGAUGGGGUUAUCCGUAAGGAGAAGCUCUUGAUCGAAGCCCCGGUAAACGGCGGCCGUAACUAUAACGGUCCUAAGGUAGCGAAAUUCCUUGUCGGGUAAGUUCCGACCUGCACGAAUGGCGUAAUGAUGGCCGGGCUGUCUCCACCCGAGACUCAGUGAAAUUGAACUCGCUGUGAAGAUGCAGUGUACCCGCGGCAAGACGGAAAGACCCCGUGAACCUUUACUAUAGCUUGACACUGAACAUUGAGCCUUGAUGUGUAGGAUAGGUGGGAGGCUUUGAAGCGUGGACGCCAGUCUGCGUGGAGCCAACCUUGAAAUACCACCCUUUAAUGUUUGAUGUUCUAACGUUGGCCCCUUACCGGGGUUGCGGACAGUGUCUGGUGGGUAGUUUGACUGGGGCGGUCUCCUCCUAAAGCGUAACGGAGGAGCACGAAGGUUAGCUAAUCCUGGUCGGACAUCAGGAGGUUAGUGCAAUGGCAUAAGCUAGCUUGACUGCGAGCGUGACGGCGCGAGCAGGUGCGAAAGCAGGUCAUAGUGAUCCGGUGGUUCUGAAUGGAAGGGCCAUCGCUCAACGGAUAAAAGGUACUCCGGGGAUAACAGGCUGAUACCGCCCAAGAGUUCAUAUCGACGGCGGUGUUUGGCACCUCGAUGUCGGCUCAUCACAUCCUGGGGCUGAAGUAGGUCCCAAGGGUAUGGCUGUUCGCCAUUUAAAGUGGUACGCGAGCUGGGUUUAGAACGUCGUGAGACAGUUCGGUCCCUAUCUGCCGUGGGCGCUGGAGAAUUGAGGGGGGCUGCUCCUAGUACGAGAGGACCGGAGUGGACGCAUCACUGGUGUUCGGGUUGUCAUGCCAAUGGCACUGCCCGGUAGCUAAAUGCGGAAGAGAUAAGUGCUGAAAGCAUCUAAGCACGAAACUUGCCCCGAGAUGAGUUCUCCCUGAGACUUUAAGUCUCCUGAAGGAACGUUGAAGACGACGACGUUGAUAGGCCGGGUGUGUAAGCGCAGCGAUGCGUUGAGCUAACCGGUACUAAUGAACCGUGAGGCUUAACCUUACAACGCCGAAG